CGUUGUCCGGAAUUAUUGGGCUUACAGAGCUCGUAGGCGGUCUGUCGCGUCGGAUGUGAAAAUCCAGGGCUCAACCCUGGACCUGCAUUCGAUACGGGCAGACUAGAGUUCGGUAGGGGAGACUGGAAUUCCUGGUGUAGCGGUGAAAUGCGCAGAUAUCAGGAGGAACACCUAUUGCGAAGGCAGCUCGCUGGGACGUAACUGACGCUGAGACGCGAAAGCGUGGGGAGCAAACAGG
RNAcentral lists this ribosomal RNA (238 nucleotides) under uncultured bacterium. RNAcentral describes it as "partial 16S ribosomal RNA". It matches the Rfam family "Bacterial small subunit ribosomal RNA", at positions 539 to 776 of the family's 1533-position model. The record is from RNAcentral.